This 509-nucleotide ribosomal RNA is filed under the name uncultured bacterium. RNAcentral describes it as "bacterial SSU rRNA". It matches the Rfam family "Bacterial small subunit ribosomal RNA", at positions 9 to 518 of the family's 1533-position model. The record is from RNAcentral.
AGAGUUGAUCCUGGCUAGGACGAACGCUGGCGGCGUGCCUAACACAUGCAAGUCGAGCGGAGUUAACAAGAGGAAGUUUCGGAUGGAAUUUGUAAUUAGCGGCGGACGGGUGAGUAACGCGUGAGCGACCAACCUUGCACAGGGGGAUAACGGACCGAAAGGUUCACUAAUACCGCAUGAGACCACGGUGUUGCAUGACACAGAGGUCAAAGGAGCAAUCCGGUGCAAGACGGGCUCGCGUCCGAUUAGGUAGUUGGUGGGGUAAUGGCCCACCAAGCCUAUGAUCGGUAGCCGACCUGAGAGGGUGAUCGGCCACAUUGGAACUGAGAUACGGUCCAAACUCCUACGGGAGGCAGCAGUGGGGAAUAUUGGGCAAUAGGGGGGAAACCCUGACCCAGCAACGCCGCGUGAAGGAAGAAGGUUUUCGGAUUGUAAACUUCUGUCCUUGGUGAAGAGAAGAAGACGGUAGCCAAGGAGGAAGCCCCGGCUAACUACGUGCCAGCCGCCGC